This 377-nucleotide ribosomal RNA is filed under the name uncultured bacterium. Its description in RNAcentral is "bacterial SSU rRNA". It matches the Rfam family "Bacterial small subunit ribosomal RNA", at positions 523 to 898 of the family's 1533-position model. The record is from RNAcentral.
AUACGUAGGGAGCGAGCGUUGUCCGGAAUGAUUGGGCGUAAAGGGCGUGUAGGCGGCCGUUUAAGUCUGGAGUGAAAUUCCUGUUUUUAAGGUAGGAACUGCUUUGGAAACUGGACGGCUUGAGUGCAGGAGAGGUUAUCGGAAUUCCCGGUGUAGCGGUGAAAUGCGUAGAGAUCGGGAGGAACACCAGUGGCGAAGGCGGGUAACUGGACUGCAACUGACGCUGAGGCGCGAAAGUGUGGGGAGCAAACAGGAUUAGAUACCCUGGUAGUCCACACUGUAAACGAUGAAUGCUAGGUGUAGGGGGUAUCGACCCCUUCUGUGCCGGAGUCAACACAAUAAGCAUUCCGCCUGGGGAGUACGGCCGCAAGGUUGAA